UGCCAGCCGCCGCGGUAAUACGAAGGGUGCUAGCGUUGUUCGGAAUUACUGGGCGUAAAGAGCAUGUAGGCGGAUGAAUUAGUCAGAGGUGAAAGCCCCGAGCUCAACCUGGGAACUGCACCUGAUACUGCCAGUCUAGAAUACGGUAGAGGGUAGUGGAAUUUCCUGUGUAGCGGUGAAAUGCGUAGAUAUAGGAAGGAACACCAGUGGCGAAGGCGACUUCCUGGGCCAAUACUGACGCUGAGGUGCGAAAGCGUGGGGAGCAAACAGGAUUAGAUA
RNAcentral lists this ribosomal RNA (279 nucleotides) under uncultured bacterium. RNAcentral's name for it is "partial 16S ribosomal RNA". It matches the Rfam family "Bacterial small subunit ribosomal RNA", at positions 506 to 784 of the family's 1533-position model. The record is from RNAcentral.